Molecule: ribosomal RNA, 427 nt
Filed under: uncultured bacterium
Lineage: Bacteria
Description: partial 16S ribosomal RNA
Rfam family: Bacterial small subunit ribosomal RNA
Source: RNAcentral
UAGGGAAUCUUCGGCAAUGGACGAAAGUCUGACCGAGCAACGCCGCGUGAGUGAAGAAGGUUUUCGGAUCGUAAAACUCUGUUGUUAGAGAAGAACAAGGACGUUAGUAACUGAACGUCCCCUGACGGUAUCUAACCAGAAAGCCACGGCUAACUACGUGCCAGCAGCCGCGGUAAUACGUAGGUGGCAAGCGUUGUCCGGAUUUAUUGGGCGUAAAGCGAGCGCAGGCGGUUUCUUAAGUCUGAUGUGAAAGCCCCCGGCUCAACCGGGGAGGGUCAUUGGAAACUGGGAGACUUGAGUGCAGAAGAGGAGAGUGGAAUUCCAUGUGUAGCGGUGAAAUGCGUAGAUAUAUGGAGGAACACCAGUGGCGAAGGCGGCUCUCUGGUCUGUAACUGACGCUGAGGCUCGAAAGCGUGGGGAUCAAACA